UAGGGAAUCUUCCACAAUGGGCGCAAGCCUGAUGGAGCAACGCCGCGUGAGUGAAGAAGGUCUUCGGAUCGUAAAACUCUGUUGUUAGAGAAGAACAUGCAGGAGAGUAACUGUUCUUGUAUUGACGGUAUCCAACCAGAAAGCCACGGCUAACUACGUGCCAG
This 164-nucleotide ribosomal RNA is filed under the name uncultured bacterium. Its description in RNAcentral is "partial 16S rRNA". It matches the Rfam family "Bacterial small subunit ribosomal RNA", at positions 355 to 511 of the family's 1533-position model. The record is from RNAcentral.